This 467-nucleotide ribosomal RNA is filed under the name uncultured Sphingobacteriales bacterium. RNAcentral's name for it is "bacterial SSU rRNA". It matches the Rfam family "Bacterial small subunit ribosomal RNA", at positions 916 to 1381 of the family's 1533-position model. The record is from RNAcentral. Lineage: Bacteria; Pseudomonadati; Bacteroidota; Sphingobacteriia; Sphingobacteriales.
ACGGGGCCCGCACAAGCGGAGGAACAUGUGGUUUAAUUCGAUGAUACGCGAGGAACCUUACCUGGGCUUAAAUGUAGAGUGCAUUUUUUAGGGAUAGAAAUUCCCUUCGGGGCUUUCUGCAAGGUGCUGCAUGGUUGUCGUCAGCUCGUGCCGUGAGGUGUCGGGUUAAGUCCCAUAACGAGCGCAACCCUUAUCGUUAGUUGCCAGCUGGUAAAGCAGGGGACUCUAGCGAAACUGCCACCGUAAGGUGAGAGGAAGGUGGGAUGACGUCAAAUCAGCACGGCCCUUAUGUCCAGGGCUACACACGUGUUACAAUGGCCGGCACAGAGGGCAGCUACCUGGUGACAGGAUGCUAAUCUUGAAAACCGGUCUCAGUUCGGAUCGAAGUCUGCAACUCGACUUCGUGAAGCUGGAUUCGCUAGUAAUCGCGCAUCAGCCAUGGCGCGGUGAAUACGUUCCCGGGCCUU